Molecule: transfer RNA, 68 nt
Filed under: Brucella inopinata
Lineage: Bacteria; Pseudomonadati; Pseudomonadota; Alphaproteobacteria; Hyphomicrobiales; Brucellaceae
Description: tRNA-Arg
Source: RNAcentral
AAUUGUGGUAAAUGCUGCGUUUCUGCCCUCCGAAGGCAGAGGCCACAGGUUCGAAUCCUGUCGGGUGC